RNAcentral lists this ribosomal RNA (2929 nucleotides) under Bacillus velezensis. Its description in RNAcentral is "23S ribosomal RNA". It matches the Rfam family "Bacterial large subunit ribosomal RNA". The record is from RNAcentral. Lineage: Bacteria; Bacillati; Bacillota; Bacilli; Caryophanales; Bacillaceae.
GGUUAAGUUAGAAAGGGCGCACGGUGGAUGCCUUGGCACUAGGAGCCGAUGAAGGACGGGACGAACACCGAUAUGCUUCGGGGAGCUGUAAGCAAGCUUUGAUCCGGAGAUUUCCGAAUGGGGAAACCCACCACUCGUAAUGGAGUGGUAUCCAUAUCUGAAUACAUAGGAUAUGAGAAGGCAGACCCGGGGAACUGAAACAUCUAAGUACCCGGAGGAAGAGAAAGCAAAUGCGAUUCCCUGAGUAGCGGCGAGCGAAACGGGACCAGCCCAAACCAAGAGGCUUGCCUCUUGGGGUUGUAGGACACUCUGUACGGAGUUACAAAGGAACGAGGUAGAUGAAGAGGUCUGGAAAGGCCCGCCAUAGGAGGUAACAGCCCUGUAGUCAAAACUUCGUUCUCUCCUGAGUGGAUCCUGAGUACGGCGGAACACGUGAAAUUCCGUCGGAAUCCGGGAGGACCAUCUCCCAAGGCUAAAUACUCCCUAGUGACCGAUAGUGAACCAGUACCGUGAGGGAAAGGUGAAAAGCACCCCGGAAGGGGAGUGAAAGAGAUCCUGAAACCGUGUGCCUACAAGUAGUCAGAGCCCGUUAACGGGUGAUGGCGUGCCUUUUGUAGAAUGAACCGGCGAGUUACGAUCCCGUGCAAGGUUAAGCAGAAGAUGCGGAGCCGCAGCGAAAGCGAGUCUGAAUAGGGCGAAUUGAGUACGUGGUCGUAGACCCGAAACCAGGUGAUCUACCCAUGUCCAGGGUGAAGUUCAGGUAACACUGAAUGGAGGCCCGAACCCACGCACGUUGAAAAGUGCGGGGAUGAGGUGUGGGUAGGGGUGAAAUGCCAAUCGAACCUGGAGAUAGCUGGUUCUCUCCGAAAUAGCUUUAGGGCUAGCCUCAAGGUAAGAGUCUCGGAGGUAGAGCACUGAUUGGACUAGGGGCCCCUACCGGGUUACCGAAUUCAGUCAAACUCCGAAUGCCGAUGACUUAUCCUUGGGAGUCAGACUGCGAGUGAUAAGAUCCGUAGUCGAAAGGGAAACAGCCCAGACCGCCAGCUAAGGUCCCAAAGUAUACGUUAAGUGGAAAAGGAUGUGGAGUUGCUUAGACAACCAGGAUGUUGGCUUAGAAGCAGCCACCAUUUAAAGAGUGCGUAAUAGCUCACUGGUCGAGUGACUCUGCGCCGAAAAUGUACCGGGGCUAAACGUAUCACCGAAGCUGCGGACUGUUCUUCGAACAGUGGUAGGAGAGCGUUCUAAGGGCUGUGAAGCAAGACCGGAAGGACUUGUGGAGCGCUUAGAAGUGAGAAUGCCGGUAUGAGUAGCGAAAGAGGGGUGAGAAUCCCCUCCACCGAAUGCCUAAGGUUUCCUGAGGAAGGCUCGUCCGCUCAGGGUUAGUCGGGACCUAAGCCGAGGCCGAAAGGCGUAGGCGAUGGAUAACAGGUUGAUAUUCCUGUACCACCUCCUCACCAUUUGAGCAAUGGGGGGACGCAGGAGGAUAGGGUAAGCGCGGUAUUGGAUAUCCGCGUCCAAGCAGUUAGGCUGGGAAAUAGGCAAAUCCGUUUCCCGUGAAGGCUGAGCUGUGAUGGCGAGCGAAUUAUAGUAGCGAAGUUCCUGAUUCCACACUGCCAAGAAAAGCCUCUAGCGAGGUGAGAGGUGCCCGUACCGCAAACCGACACAGGUAGGCGAGGAGAGAAUCCUAAGGUGAUCGAGAGAACUCUCGUUAAGGAACUCGGCAAAAUGACCCCGUAACUUCGGGAGAAGGGGUGCUCUGUUAGGGUGCAAGCCCGAGAGAGCCGCAGUGAAUAGGCCCAGGCGACUGUUUAGCAAAAACACAGGUCUCUGCGAAGCCGUAAGGCGAAGUAUAGGGGCUGACGCCUGCCCGGUGCUGGAAGGUUAAGAGGAGCGCUUAGCGUAAGCGAAGGUGCGAAUUGAAGCCCCAGUAAACGGCGGCCGUAACUAUAACGGUCCUAAGGUAGCGAAAUUCCUUGUCGGGUAAGUUCCGACCCGCACGAAAGGCGCAACGAUCUGGGCACUGUCUCAACGAGAGACUCGGUGAAAUUAUAGUACCUGUGAAGAUGCAGGUUACCCGCGACAGGACGGAAAGACCCCGUGGAGCUUUACUGCAGCCUGAUAUUGAAUGUUGGUACAGCUUGUACAGGAUAGGUAGGAGCCUUGGAAACCGGAGCGCCAGCUUCGGUGGAGGCAUCGGUGGGAUACUACCCUGGCUGUAUUGACCUUCUAACCCGCCGCCCUUAUCGGGCGGGGAGACAGUGUCAGGUGGGCAGUUUGACUGGGGCGGUCGCCUCCUAAAAGGUAACGGAGGCGCCCAAAGGUUCCCUCAGAAUGGUUGGAAAUCAUUCGCAGAGUGUAAAGGCACAAGGGAGCUUGACUGCGAGACCUACAAGUCGAGCAGGGACGAAAGUCGGGCUUAGUGAUCCGGUGGUUCCGCAUGGAAGGGCCAUCGCUCAACGGAUAAAAGCUACCCCGGGGAUAACAGGCUUAUCUCCCCCAAGAGUCCACAUCGACGGGGAGGUUUGGCACCUCGAUGUCGGCUCAUCGCAUCCUGGGCUGUAGUCGGUCCCAAGGGUUGGGCUGUUCGCCCAUUAAAGCGGUACGCGAGCUGGGUUCAGAACGUCGUGAGACAGUUCGGUCCCUAUCCGUCGCGGGCGCAGGAAAUUUGAGAGGAGCUGUCCUUAGUACGAGAGGACCGGGAUGGACGCACCGCUGGUGUACCAGUUGUUCUGCCAAGGGCAUCGCUGGGUAGCUAUGUGCGGACGGGAUAAGUGCUGAAAGCAUCUAAGCAUGAAGCCCCCCUCAAGAUGAGAUUUCCCAUUCCGCAAGGAAGUAAGAUCCCUGAAAGAUGAUCAGGUUGAUAGGUCUGAGGUGGAAGUGUGGCGACACAUGGAGCUGACAGAUACUAAUCGAUCGAGGACUUAACCAA